CUUCUCCAGGGGAUCUUCCCAACCCAGGGAUCAAACCAAGGUCUCCUGCACUACAGGCAGAUUCUCUACCAUCUGAGCUACAGGGAAGCUAUACAUAUAUUCAUCAAGCCCUUUCUGUGUGCAUUUUCUUAUACAAGCCUUACAAAAGCUAUCUAAGGUAGCAAUGAUCACAUCCACUCAACAAAUGAAAAAAUUAAGGCUCAGAGAAGUUAAGUAAUUUGUGCAAAGCCAAAUAUAAGGAUAGCAAUACACCUCACAUCCCGAUCAGAUUCUGUGGGGGAAUCAGUGAAUUGCUGUACACAGAAAGUACUUAGACUGGUGCCUGACACAGAGGAAAUGCUAAAUAAGGGUUUGUCUUUCUGAAGGCUGUUACUCCACGGCCUGCCACACCCUGCAGAGGGUGAAGCAGAAGCUGGGUGCAGGCGGCUGCCUCCUCCCUGUAGCAGGGAAGCCAGCCUUAACCCUCCACAGCCGUGGGCGGGGGCCACCCUCCCGAGCUGACACAGACG
This 509-nucleotide long non-coding RNA is filed under the name Capra hircus (goat). RNAcentral describes it as "lncRNA (ENSCHIG00010032139.1)". The record is from RNAcentral. Lineage: Eukaryota; Metazoa; Chordata; Mammalia; Artiodactyla; Bovidae.